Molecule: ribosomal RNA, 253 nt
Filed under: uncultured bacterium
Lineage: Bacteria
Description: partial 16S ribosomal RNA
Rfam family: Bacterial small subunit ribosomal RNA
Source: RNAcentral
UACGUAGGGGGCUAGCGUUGUCCGGAAUCAUUGGGCGUAAAGCGCGUGUAGGCGGUCCGGUAAGUCCGCUGUGAAAGUCGGGGGCUCAACCCUCGAAUGCCGGUGGAUACUGUCGGGCUAGAGUGCGGAAGAGGCGAGUGGAAUUCCUGGUGUAGCGGUGAAAUGCGCAGAUAUCAGGGGGAACACCAAUUGCGAAGGCAGCUCGCUGGGACGUUACUGACGCUGAGACGCGAAAGCGUGGGGAGCAAACAGG